AAUAAUUAUUAUCCUGAGGAGAUAUCUUAAUUCCAGCCUGAGAUUCUUCAAUGAAUGACCUGACCAAAGGCAAGAAUUUAUGCUCUAAGCUUUCAUCACCAAUCAUGUGUAAUUUAAAAACAAAGAGAAAGGGUCCUAUAAUUAAGAACUCUCUCUUUUCUGACAUAAUUUAGGGGGAGCAAGGGGAAAUAAAAGUUGGAACACCAAAGAACCACAUGAAAUCACAAUACACCCAGAAUCAUAAAGCAGAGUAUUGGUGUUGUGUGAGUGUAUUGUCUGGUGG
RNAcentral lists this long non-coding RNA (283 nucleotides) under Arachis ipaensis. RNAcentral's name for it is "long non-coding RNA (AIPA_LNC000060)". The record is from RNAcentral. Lineage: Eukaryota; Viridiplantae; Streptophyta; Magnoliopsida; Fabales; Fabaceae.